UAUCGCAAUUCGUGCAAAACGUUUGGUAUGAAAAUACGCUACGUCUUUGUAUAGCAAGACGUGAUGUGGUGGUGCCAGGCGCACAAAAUAGUUUCUUUUGUCAUUCUGCUCACAGUUUGGCGGCCAUUUGCAUCCAAGAAAACAAAAUACCUGCAGUGACUGGCUGCAGGGGUUUCCGUGUUACCGAUUCUGGUUUAGCUAUUAUCCCGACAUUAAUGGAUUUCUCCGUGAGUACAUGUUUUACACUGGGUGCGGAGAAUGGAGGAAUAAGCUGUAUGUCUACGAUCCGUGGAUGAAGACUUGCCAAGAAAUUCGGCGCUGUUCCAGGUGUGCUCGCGAAUGAGGACAUCCAAUUUUUCUGUUGACCUGGUUCUGCAAAAUUAUUCAUAUUACUCUGGAAUAUGUGCUUGAUAUGUUUCAUCGAUUGUCGAAAGUAAAAUGAAUUACCUUGUU
Molecule: long non-coding RNA, 453 nt
Organism: Dermacentor silvarum
Lineage: Eukaryota; Metazoa; Arthropoda; Arachnida; Ixodida; Ixodidae
Exons: 2
Source: RefSeq, a predicted model, not a curated record